AGUGAAGCGGGAAAAGCUCAAAUUUAAAAUCUGGCGGUUUCACCGUCCGAGUUGUAAUUUAGAGAAGUGUUACCCGUGCUGGACCGUGUACAAGUCUCCUGGAACGGAGCGUCGUGGAGGGUGAGAAUCCCGUACAUGACACGGACUACCAGGACAUUGUGGUGCGCUCUCGAAGAGUCGAGUUGUUUGGGAAUGCAGCUCAAAAUGGGUGGUAAAUUCCAUCUAAAGCUAAAUAUUGGGGAGAGACCGAUAGCGAACAAGUACCGUGAGGGAAAGAUGAAAAGAACUUUGGAAAGAGAGUUAAACAGUACGUGAAAUUGCUGAAAGGGAAACGCUUGAAGUCAGUCGCGUUGUGCGGGAUUCAGCCUGGCUUUUGCUUGGUGUACUUCCUGUACGAUGGGUCAGCAUCAGUUUUGACCGGUGGAUAAGGGCGUAGGGAAUGUGGCAUCCUCGGAUGUGUUAUAGCCUUGCGUCGCAUACAUCGGUUGGGACUGAGGAACUCAGCACGCCGCAAGGCGGGGUUUUACCACCUUCGUGCUUAGGAUGCUGGCAUAAUGGCUUUAAUCGACCCGUCUUGAAACACGGACCAAGGAGUCUAACAUGCCUGCGAGUGUUUGGGUGUUAAACCCGAGCGCGUAAUGAAAGUGAAAGUUGAGAUCCCUGUCGUGGGGAGCAUCGACGCCCGGAGCAGAACUUUUGGGACGCAUCCGCGGUUGAGCAUGUAUGUUGGGACCCGAAAGAUGGUGAACUAUGCCUGAAUAGGGUGAAGCCAGAGGAAACUCUGGUGGAGGCUCGUAGCGAUUCUGACGUGCAAAUCGAUCGUCGA
RNAcentral lists this ribosomal RNA (826 nucleotides) under Mycena chlorophos. Its description in RNAcentral is "LSU rRNA". It matches the Rfam family "Eukaryotic large subunit ribosomal RNA", at positions 92 to 908 of the family's 3401-position model. The record is from RNAcentral. Lineage: Eukaryota; Fungi; Basidiomycota; Agaricomycetes; Agaricales; Mycenaceae.